This 544-nucleotide small RNA is filed under the name Pan troglodytes (chimpanzee). RNAcentral describes it as "retained intron". The record is from RNAcentral. Lineage: Eukaryota; Metazoa; Chordata; Mammalia; Primates; Hominidae.
CCGAUGAGGCCCCCAACCCUCCAAGCAGCAGCGAGGAGAGCACAGGCAGCUGGACCCAGCUUGCCAAUGAGGAGGACAACCCAGAUGACACAAGUAGCUUUCUCCAGCUUAGUGAGCGAUCCAUGAGCAAUGGCAACAGUAGUGCCACUAGCAGUCUUGGCAUUAUGGAUCUGGACAUUUAUCAGGAAAGCAUGCCAUCUUCUCCCAUGAUUAAUGAAUUAGUAGAAGAAAAGGAGAUUCUUAAAGGACAGUCAGAAAGCAUAGAGGCACCUGCAUCUGGACUGCCUGUGGGAACAGCCAGCCCCCAGAGGAGCCUGCUGGUGAUCAACUUUGACCUGGAGCCAGAGUGUCCAGAUGCCGAGCUCCGAGCCACUCUGCAGUGGAUAGCUGCCUCUGAACUGGGGAUUCCCACCAUCUACUUUAAGAAAUCUCAGGAAAACAGAAUUGAAAAGGUAUCAUGUACCAGGUUUGGAAAACAAGAAAGCUUUGUGUUUUCAUCACCAUUGGAAACUCAGUAAAUGCUCAGUAAACCCAUGUCCAUUUG